Molecule: ribosomal RNA, 440 nt
Filed under: uncultured bacterium
Lineage: Bacteria
Description: partial 16S ribosomal RNA
Rfam family: Bacterial small subunit ribosomal RNA
Source: RNAcentral
CCUACGGGGAGCAGCAGUGGGGAAUAUUGCACAAUGGGGGAAACCCUGAUGCAGCGACGCCGCGUGAGUGAAGAAGUAUUUCGGUAUGUAAAGCUCUAUCAGCAGGGAAGAAAAUGACGGUACCUGACCAAGAAGCCCCGGCUAACUACGUGCCAGCAGCCGCGGUAAUACGUAGGGGGCAAGCGUUAUCCGGAUUUACUGGGUGUAAAGGGAGCGUAGACGGUUGUGCAAGUCAGAAGUGAAAGCCCGGGGCUCAACUCCGGGACUGCUUUUGAAACUGUGAAACUGGAGUGCAGGAGAGGUAAGCGGAAUUCCUGGUGUAGCGGUGAAAUGCGUAGAUAUCAGGAGGAACACCAGUGGCGAAGGCGGCUUACUGGACUGUAACUGACGUUGAGGCUCGAAAGCGUGGGGAGCAAACAGGAUUAGAUACCCGAGUAGUC